Molecule: ribosomal RNA, 2877 nt
Filed under: Triticum aestivum (bread wheat)
Lineage: Eukaryota; Viridiplantae; Streptophyta; Magnoliopsida; Poales; Poaceae
Description: partial small subunit ribosomal RNA
Source: RNAcentral
AUGCGCGUCUGCAUCCAUCCCUGGUUCACGGAUUGCACACUGCCGCAUGAGGUGGCCGCCGCGGAACAGACUGUGAAGGAUGGGUCACCGCAUAAGGUUAACUGGGCCGCCAUCAUCUGGGGUAUCAUCGAGAAGGAGAUUCACGAGCUGCCCGGGAGGGAUGAUGGGGUGUGCCAAUACGGGGCGUAUCUUCAGCGGCUCAUCCGGGUGCAGAAGCCGCUGCUGUUUGACCUGCCGCAGAAAGAGGAGGCAGGGAAGCUUGUUCAGAAGGUGUCUUUUGAUUUAGUUAAGGACGAGCGUGGUGGGGAUGCAGAUGCCAGGAACAAGGGCUUGCAGGAGUUGGAGCCUAUAGAUGCAGAUACGGAUGCGAGCAGCAAGAGCCCGAAGGAAUCAGAGUUAGAGGGUGUGAGUCUGACCAGCAAGAGCUUGGAUGAAUCGGGACCUGCAGAUGCUGAUGCUAGUGGUCAUGACUUGAAGGAGUUGGAGUCUGGGGAUGCGAGGAGCAACAUCUUGGAGGAAUCAGAGACAGCAGGUGUGGAUUUGAGGAGCAAUGACUUGAAUGAGUCUGGGGAUGCGACCAAGAUCUUUGAGGAAUCAGAGACAGCAGCUGUGGAUUUGAAGAGCAAUGACUUGAAUGAGUCUGGGAAUGCGAGGAGCAACAUCUUGGAGGAACCAGAGACAGAAGGUUCGGAUUUGAGGAACAAUGACUUAAAGAAGUCAGAUUCUGGGGAUGCAGGGAGCAAGAGCAUGGAUGAAUUGGCGGAUGCGGAUGCUAAUGCAGGGAGCAAGUCACUGGAUACAUCUAUUGUGAUGGAUGAGGAUGCUAAGGGCUUGGAUGUUGAGAUGGAGUCAGGGGAUGUUGGUGCUAAUGCAGGGAGCAAGUCACUGGAUACAUUGAAGGUGAUGGAUGAGGAUGCAAAGGGCUUGGAUGUUGAGAUGGAGUCGGUGGAUGCAGAUCCUAAUGCAGGGAGCAAGUCACCGGAUUCAUUGAAGGUUAUGGAUGAGGAUGCAAAGGGCUUGGAUGUCGAACUGGAGUCGCGGGCUAUGGAUCCUAAUGCAAGCAAUAAUUCGCCGGAUACAUUGAAGGUGGUGAAUGAGGAUGCAAAGGUCAUGAGCUUGGAUGUCGAAUUGGAGUCAGGGGAUGCAGAUGCUAAUGCAAGGAACAAGUCACCAGAUACAUCAAAGUUGGUGGAUGAGGAUGUAAAGGUGGACGUGGAUGCUAAUGCAAGCAGCAACAAACUGGAGACACCCAAUGUGGUGGAUGGGGACUUCAAACUGCUGUUGGGGUGUGUGGAUGGUAAUGCAAGCAGCAAUAGACUGGAGCCACCAAAUGUUGCUGAUGAGGAUGAUGAAUUGCAGUUGGGGGAUGUGGAGAGAUUGGAGACAUCGAAGGUGGCGGAUGAGGAUGUAAAGGGCAUGAGCUUGGAUCAAUCAAAGGCAGGGGAUGCCAUGGUGCUGGAGGAAGCUGUAGCUCGUACACAUGAAAUAAAUACUGUGAAUGGUGAGGUUUUGGCAGACUUUGCAUGGGAGGAAGAUGAAGACACAAUUGUGGGUGCAGCAGAGAAGGAUGCAUGCCCAUCGCCGGAUGUGGAACUGGUGACACAGGAGAAAGUGCUAGUAGUGCCAGAGGAGGAUGAGGAGGCAGAAGAGGAAGAAGAGAAGGAUGAGGCAGGGUGGAGCUCUGCCAAUGAUGACGAUGACAGUAUGGAUGUCGAAGAUCAUGUAUCUGUCCAAAAUCUGGAUAGUGAUAAUGAGGAGGUGGAGGAGUCAGAGCGUGAUGCAUUUGAGGGGUGUAGCGGUGGAGUGGAGAUGAACUGGGGUAUUGGGGAUGAGAAGGGGGGCGAGGGGACGACACAUUGUUUACAGCAAUGUGACUUUCCAGGGGUGGAGUUUGAGAAUUUGAAUAAAGGGAAUGUUGGGAUGAGGGAUGGUGUGAGCUUUGAUGAUGGAUUCAAAAUGGGCUCCUUGCAUGGGAUGGAGUCAAACCUCCUCCAGGCUAUGAACUCAGAUCCUGCGGCAUAUAAUGGCACGGAGAAUGCACAUGACCUGUCCUCUGGAAAUUUCUUGGCUAUGGGGGCUGAUGCACAUAAGAAUGGAGUGGACCUGGGGGCCGGCAAUUCAUUUUUCUUUGGCAAUAAUAAUGGGAAGAGGCAUGUUGAGGAUAUUGAUGAUGGGUACGAUGACCAGAUGCAAACACAACAGCAGUUUCUGCAGGGCAAUCAACAUAAGCGGAUGCGGAACUCCAGCAGUAGUGUACCACCUGGAUCAGCAUUCUUCAAUGCAAACUAUUCAGAACCCAUACAGAACUUAUUGGUCAAUGCCAGCAUGUUAUAUGAACAGAAAGACAGAGAGAUUCAAGAGGCGCUGUCACAGAAGCAAUUUAUGGCCAACUUGCUGCAGGAGAAGGAAGCACUUAUCCACUCACUAAACUCAGCCAGGUUUGAGCAAGAGAAUAAGUUGCAAGCAAAGCUUAGGUGCUUUGAGCAUGAUCUGAAUGUGAUGGGUCAGUUGGUCAGUGGGUAUAAGAGGGCUUUGAAACAGAGUCAUGCUUCUUUCAAUGAGUACAGGAAGAAGUUCCCUUCUAACAAGUUCCGUUAUCAUGAUGUUCCUAAUGGUGGCGGUCUUGUCCUUAGCGUCAGGGAGUUGGAGAGGAAACGGUGGGAGGAAGAGCAGCAGAAACGGUGGGAGGAAGAGCAGCAGAAACUUGCAGUAAAUGAGAUGAUUGAACGUUUCAAGCUUGAAUGGUUUUCAAAGCCUGAUGAUUGGGAACAUCGCAUCAACCUUUUGUGGAGGAAAACUGAAGGGCUGGCUCGGGAGCUUGAUCUUCUCAAGGAAAAAAGAAAAGCAAAGCUUGCAGCCCUUGCUAGGGAAGAAUGA